This 76-nucleotide transfer RNA is filed under the name Staphylococcus aureus. RNAcentral describes it as "tRNA-Asp". It matches the Rfam family "tRNA". Rfam says of the family: Transfer RNA (tRNA) molecules are approximately 80 nucleotides in length. Lineage: Bacteria; Bacillati; Bacillota; Bacilli; Caryophanales; Staphylococcaceae. The record is from RNAcentral.
GGUCUCGUAGUGUAGCGGUUAACACGCCUGCCUGUCACGCAGGAGAUCGCAGGUUCGAUUCCCGUCGAGACCGCCA